CCGGAGGAAGGUGGGGAUGACGUCAAGUCAUCAUGGCCCUUACGGCCUGGGCGUACACACGUGCUACAAUGGUCGGUACAAAGGGUUGCCAAGCCGCGAGGUGGAGCUAAUCCCAUAAAACCGAUCGUAGUCCGGAUCGCAGUCUGCAACUCGACUGCGUGAAGUCGGAAUCGCUAGUAAUCGUGAAUCAGAAUGUCACGGUGAAUACGUUCCCGGGCCUU
This 221-nucleotide ribosomal RNA is filed under the name uncultured Pseudomonas sp. RNAcentral's name for it is "partial 16S ribosomal RNA". It matches the Rfam family "Bacterial small subunit ribosomal RNA", at positions 1163 to 1382 of the family's 1533-position model. The record is from RNAcentral. Lineage: Bacteria; Pseudomonadati; Pseudomonadota; Gammaproteobacteria; Pseudomonadales; Pseudomonadaceae.